AUCUGGGCGGCGGAAUUCAGGAUGGCUGGGCGGCUCUUGCAGUAACGUCGGUCGUUUGAUAUUUCCGUCGCCAACAACCGCAGACGUCGCGACCUGUUCGCGGUCGGUCCCUGCUCGGAGGAGCCACGUUCGAGUUCGUUGUGUGCGCGUUUCGGCGUGUCACACGGUGAAGGCGUGGAUCUCUGGCUGGCCGUCGGACAGUAUGCUUAACGGUGUCCGGUGUCGUCGUCUCGUACGCGCGGCAUCGGUACCGGUCAGCGACGAAUUCUUCGGGCCUCUUUCCGACCCGUCUUGAAACACGGACCAAGGAGUCUAACAUGCGCGCGAGUCGCGGGGUAUCGUUCGUACUUCGGUGCGUUCGUUAUGUUGCGAAACCCGUACAUGUCGAAGGCGUAAUGAAAGUGAAUGGGGAAGAUGGUGUUCCGAGUACACGUUCCGUGAUCGUCGGUAUCGCGGCCGGACACCCGCAUUCCCGGGGCGUCUCAACGGCCCGUCGCUGAUGCGGACAGUCGUCUUUCGGGGUGGCUGUCGGUCGGCGACGAACCGA
Molecule: ribosomal RNA, 547 nt
Filed under: Aonidiella orientalis
Lineage: Eukaryota; Metazoa; Arthropoda; Insecta; Hemiptera; Diaspididae
Description: LSU rRNA
Source: RNAcentral